UAUGAAGCUUGACUGUAGCUUGGAAUUGGGUUCGGGCUUUUCUUGCGCAGACUAGGUGGGAGGCUAUGAAGAAAUACUUCUGGGUAUUUUGGAGCCAUCAGUGAGAGACCACUCUGGAAAAGCUAGAAUUCUAAUGGCGUUCCUUGAAGCAGGACGCUUGACAGUUUCAGGUGGGCAGUUUGACUGGGGCGGUCACCUCCUAAAAGGUAACGGAGGUGUGCAAAGGUUCCCUCAGGCUGGACGGAAAUCAGCCGUAGAGUGUAAAGGCAGAAGGGAGCUUGACUGCAAGACCUACAAGUCGAGCAGGGGCGAAAGCCGGCCUUAGUGAUCCGACGGUUCCGUGUGGAAGGGCCGUCGCUAAACGGAUAAAAGUUACUCU
This 379-nucleotide ribosomal RNA is filed under the name Picochlorum sp. CHLO1. RNAcentral's name for it is "partial large subunit ribosomal RNA". It matches the Rfam family "Bacterial large subunit ribosomal RNA", at positions 2093 to 2469 of the family's 2925-position model. The record is from RNAcentral. Lineage: Eukaryota; Viridiplantae; Chlorophyta; Trebouxiophyceae.